Molecule: ribosomal RNA, 253 nt
Filed under: uncultured bacterium
Lineage: Bacteria
Description: partial 16S ribosomal RNA
Rfam family: Bacterial small subunit ribosomal RNA
Source: RNAcentral
UACAGGGGGUGCAAACGUUGCUCGGAAUCAUUGGGCGUAAAGCGCACGUAGGCGGUUCGUUAUGUCGGAUGUGAAAGCCCUUGGCUUAACCGAGGAAGUGCAUCCGAAACUGGCGAGCUAGAGUACUAAAGAGGAUCGCGGAAUUCCCGGUGUAGAGGUGAAAUUCGUAGAUAUCGGGAGGAACACCGGUGGCGAAGGCGGCGAUCUGGGUAGAUACUGACGCUGAGACGCGAAAGCGUGGGGAGCAAACAGG